UGACGCUCCGGCAGGCCUUCACAUGCAAGCCGAGCGGCAGCGGAAAGUAGCUUGCUACUUUGCCGGCGAGCGGCGGACGGGUGAGUAAUGUCUGGGAAACUGCCUGAUGGAGGGGGAUAACUACUGGAAACGGUAGCUGAUACCGCAUGACGUCGCAAGACCAAAGUGGGGGACCUUCGGGCCUCACGCCAUCGGAUGUGCCCAGAUGGGAUUAGCUAGUAGGUGGGGUAAUGGCUCACCUAGGCGACGAUCCCUAGCUGGUCUGAGAGGAUGACCAGCCACACUGGAACUGAGACACGGUCCAGACUCCUACGGGAGGCAGCAGUGGGGAAUAUUGCACAAUGGGCGCAAGCCUGAUGCAGCCAUGCCGCGUGUGUGAAGAAGGCCUUAGGGUUGUAAAGCACUUUCAGCGAGGAGGAAGGCGUUGUAGUUAAUAGCUUGCACGAUUGACGUUACUCCAGAAGAACACCGGCUACUCCGUGCCACACCGCGGUAAUCCGGAGGGUGCAAGCGUUAUCGGAAUACUGGCGUAAAGCGACGCAGCGGUUGUAAGUAAUGUAAC
This 562-nucleotide ribosomal RNA is filed under the name uncultured bacterium. RNAcentral describes it as "bacterial SSU rRNA". It matches the Rfam family "Bacterial small subunit ribosomal RNA", at positions 31 to 591 of the family's 1533-position model. The record is from RNAcentral.